AUUGAACGCUGGCGGCAGGCCUAACACAUGCAAGUCGAGCGAGAAAGGUCUUCGGACUGAGUACAGCGGCGGACGGGUGAGUAAAGCGUAGGAAUCUACCUGGUAGUGGGGGAUAACUUGGGGAAACUCAAACUAAUACCGCAUACGCCUACGGGGAAAGGCGGGGGACCGUUCGGGCCUCGCGCUAUCAGAUGAGCCUGCGUAGGAUUAGCUAGUUGGUGAGGUAAAGGCUCACCAAGGCGACGAUCCUUAGCUGGUCUGAGAGGAUGAUCAGCCACACUGGGACUGAGACACGGCCCAGACUCCUACGGGAGGCAGCAGUGGGGAAUAUUGCGCAAUGGGCGAAAGCCUGACGCAGCCAUGCCGCGUGUGUGAAGAAGGCCUUAGGGUUGUAAAG
Molecule: ribosomal RNA, 397 nt
Filed under: uncultured bacterium
Lineage: Bacteria
Description: bacterial SSU rRNA
Rfam family: Bacterial small subunit ribosomal RNA
Source: RNAcentral